This 399-nucleotide ribosomal RNA is filed under the name uncultured bacterium. RNAcentral's name for it is "bacterial SSU rRNA". It matches the Rfam family "Bacterial small subunit ribosomal RNA", at positions 28 to 429 of the family's 1533-position model. The record is from RNAcentral.
GACGAACGCUGGCGGCGUGCUUAACACAUGCAAGUCGAGCGGUAAGGCCCUUUCGGGGGUACGACGAGCGGCGAACGGGUGAGUAACACGUGGGCGACCUGCCCUCAGCUCUGGGAUAAGCCUGGGAAACCGGGUCUAAUACUGGAUAUGACUCCAUGACGCAUGUUGUGGGGUGGAAAGCCUUGUGCGGCUGAGGAUGGGCCCGCGGCCUAUCAGCUUGUUGGUGGGGUGGAUGGCCUACCAAGGCGACGACGGGUAGCCGGCCUGAGAGGGCGACCGGCCACACUGGGACUGAGACACGGCCCAGACUCCUACGGGAGGGCAGCAGUGGGGAAUCUUGCGCAAUGGGCGAAAGCCUGACGCAGCGACGCCGCGUGAGGGAUGACGGCCUGGUGUAAC